Molecule: ribosomal RNA, 251 nt
Filed under: uncultured bacterium
Lineage: Bacteria
Description: partial 16S ribosomal RNA
Rfam family: Bacterial small subunit ribosomal RNA
Source: RNAcentral
UCAGCCACAUUGGGACUGAGACACGGCCCAAACUCCUACGGGAGGCAGCAGUGGGGAAUAUUGGACAAUGGGCGAAAGCCUGAUCCAGCAAUGCCGCGUGUGUGAAGAAGGUCUUCGGAUUGUAAAGCACUUUCGACGGGGACGAUGAUGACGGUACCCGUAGAAGAAGCCCCGGCUAACUUCGUGCCAGCAGCCGCGGUAAUACGAAGGGGGCUAGCGUUGCUCGGAAUGACUGGGCGUAAAGGGCGCGU